CCUACGGGGAGCUGCAGUGGGGAAUAUUGCACAAUGGGGGAAACCCUGAUGCAGCGACGCCGCGUGAGUGAAGAAGUAUCUCGGUACGUAAAGCUCUAUCAGCAGGGAAGAAAAUGACGGUACAUGACUAAGAAGCCCCGGCUAACUACGUGCCAGCAGCCGCGGUAAUACGUAGGGGGCAAGCGUUAUCCGGAUUUACUGGGUGUAAAGGGAGCGGAGACGGCAGCACAAGUAUGGAGUGAAAUCCCGGGGCUUACCCCCGGAACUGCUUUGGAAACUGUGCGGCUGGAGUGCAGGUGGGGUAAGCGGAAUUCCUCGUGUAGCGGUUAACUGCGUAGCUAUUAGGAGGAACACCGGUGGCGACGGCGGCUUACUGGACUGUACCUGACGUUGAGGCUCGAAAGCGUGGGGAGCAAACCGGAUUAGAUACCCGGGUAGUC
Molecule: ribosomal RNA, 440 nt
Filed under: uncultured bacterium
Lineage: Bacteria
Description: partial 16S ribosomal RNA
Rfam family: Bacterial small subunit ribosomal RNA
Source: RNAcentral